CAGCAGCCGCGGGAAUACGUAGGUCCCGAGCGUUGUCCGGAUUUAUUGGGCGUAAAGGGAGCGCAGGCGGUUUAGUAAGUCUGAAGUUAAAGGCAUUGGCUUAACCAUAGUACGCUUUGGAAACUGUUUAACUUGAGUGCAAGAGGGGAGAGUGGAAUUCCAUGUGUAGCGGUGAAAUGCGUAGAUAUAUGGAGGAACACCGGUGGCGAAAGCGGCUCUCUGGCUUGUAACUGACGCUGAGGCUCGAAAGCGUGGGGAGCAAACAGGAUUAGAUACCCCCGUAGUCCCUGUCUCUUAUACA
Molecule: ribosomal RNA, 301 nt
Filed under: uncultured bacterium
Lineage: Bacteria
Description: partial 16S ribosomal RNA
Rfam family: Bacterial small subunit ribosomal RNA
Source: RNAcentral